Molecule: ribosomal RNA, 253 nt
Filed under: uncultured bacterium
Lineage: Bacteria
Description: partial 16S ribosomal RNA
Rfam family: Bacterial small subunit ribosomal RNA
Source: RNAcentral
UACGAAGGGGGCGAGCGUUAUCCGGAUUCACUGGGUUUAAAGGGUGCGUAGGUGGGCGAGUAAGUCAGUGGUGAAAUCUCCGGGCUUAACCCGGAAACUGCCAUUGAUACUAUUCGUCUUGAAUGUUGUGGAGGUAAGCGGAAUAUGUCAUGUAGCGGUGAAAUGCUUAGAUAUGACAUAGAACACCGAUAGCGUAGGCAGCUUACUACACUAUGAUUGACACUGAGGCACGAAAGCGUGGGGAUCAAACAGG